CCUACGGGUGGCUGCAGUGAGGAAUAUUGGUCAAUGGGCGUGAGCCUGAACCAGCCAAGUCGCGUGAGGGAGCACUGCCCUAUGGGUUGUAAACCUCUUUUGUCGGGGAGCAACAGCCGGACGUUUCCGGCGGUGAGAGUACCCGUAGAAAAAGCAUCUGCUAACUCCGCGCCCGCAGCCGCGGUAAUAUGGAGGAUGCGAGCGUUAUCCGGGUUUAUUGGGUUUAAAGGGGGCGCAGGCGGAAUUUUAAGUCAGCGGUAAAAUCGUGGGGCUCAACCCCGUCCAGCCGUUGAAACUGGGGAUCUAGAGUGUGCGAGAGGUAUGCGGAAUGCGUGGUGUAGCGGUGAAAUGCAUAGAUAUCACGCAGAACCCCGAUUGCGAAGGCAGCAUACCGGUGCACAACUGACGCUCAGGCACGAAAGCGUGGGUAUCGAACAGGAUUAGAUACCCCGGUAGUC
This 458-nucleotide ribosomal RNA is filed under the name uncultured bacterium. RNAcentral describes it as "partial 16S ribosomal RNA". It matches the Rfam family "Bacterial small subunit ribosomal RNA", at positions 338 to 795 of the family's 1533-position model. The record is from RNAcentral.